This 497-nucleotide ribosomal RNA is filed under the name uncultured bacterium. RNAcentral's name for it is "partial 16S ribosomal RNA". It matches the Rfam family "Bacterial small subunit ribosomal RNA", at positions 28 to 507 of the family's 1533-position model. The record is from RNAcentral.
GAUGAACGCUGGCGGCGUGCCUAAUACAUGCAAGUCGAGCGAACGGACGAGAAGCUUGCUUCUCUGAUGUUAGCGGCGGACGGGUGAGUGACACGUGGAUAACCUACCUAUAAGACUGGGAUAACUUCGGGAAACCGGAGCUAAUACCGGAUAAUAUUUUGAACCGCAUGGUUCAAAAGUGAAAGACGGUCUUGCUGUCACUUAUAGAUGGUUCCGCGCUGCAUUAGCUAGUUGGUAAGGUAACGGCUUACCAAGGCAACGAUGCAUAGCCGACCUGAGAGGGUGAUCGGCCACACUGGAACUGAGACACGGUCCAGACUCCUACGGGAGGCAGCAGUAGGGAAUCUUCCGCAAUGGGCGAAAGCCUGACGGAGCAACGCCGCGUGAGUGAUGAAGGUCUUCGGAUCGUAAAACUCUGUUAUUAGGGAAGAACAUAUGUGUAAGUAACUGUGCACAUCUUGACGGUACCUAAUCAGAAAGCCACGGCUAACUACGUG